This 405-nucleotide ribosomal RNA is filed under the name uncultured bacterium. RNAcentral describes it as "bacterial SSU rRNA". It matches the Rfam family "Bacterial small subunit ribosomal RNA", at positions 356 to 773 of the family's 1533-position model. The record is from RNAcentral.
GGGGAAUAUUGCACAAUGGGCGAAAGCCUGAUGCAGCGACGCCGCGUGAGGGAUGAAGGCCUUCGGGUUGUAAACCUCUUUCAGCAGGGAAGAAGCGCAAGUGACGGUACCUGCAGAAGAAGCGCCGGCUAACUACGUGCCAGCAGCCGCGGUAAUACGUAGGGCGCAAGCGUUGUCCGGAAUUAUUGGGCGUAAAGAGCUCGUAGGCGGUUUGUCGCGUCUGGUGUGAAAACUCGAGGCUCAACCUCGAGCUUGUAUCGGGUACGGGCAGACUAGAGUGCGGUAGGGGAGACUGGAAUUCCUGGUGUAGCGGUGGAAUGCGCAGAUAUCAGGAGGAACAUCGAUGGUGAAGGCAGGUCUCUGGGCCGCAACUGACGCUGAGGAGCGAAAGCAUGGGGAGCGAAC